Molecule: ribosomal RNA, 652 nt
Filed under: uncultured bacterium
Lineage: Bacteria
Description: bacterial SSU rRNA
Rfam family: Bacterial small subunit ribosomal RNA
Source: RNAcentral
AUUGAACGCUGGCGGCAGGCCUAACACAUGCAAGUCGAGCGGAUGAGAAGAGCUUGCUCUUCGAUUCAGCGGCGGACGGGUGAGUAAUGCCUAGGAAUCUGCCUGGUAGUGGGGGACAACGUUUCGAAAGGAACGCUAAUACCGCAUACGUCCUACGGGAGAAAGCAGGGGACCUUCGGGCCUUGCGCUAUCAGAUGAGCCUAGGUCGGAUUAGCUAGUUGGUGAGGUAAUGGCUCACCAAGGCUACGAUCCGUAACUGGUCUGAGAGGAUGAUCAGUCACACUGGAACUGAGACACGGCCCAGACUCCUACGGGAGGCAGCAGUGGGGAAUAUUGGACAAUGGGGGGAACCCUGAUCCAGCCAUGCCGCGUGUGUGAAGAAGGCCUUUUGGUUGUAAAGCACUUUAAGCGAGGAGGAGGAGCUCUAGAUUAAUACUCUAGAUGCUUGGACGUUACUCGCAGAAUAAGCACCGGCUAACUCUGUGCCAGCAGCCGCGGUAAUACAGAGGGUGCAAGCGUUAAUCGGAAUUACUGGGCGUAAAGCGCGCGUAGGUGGUUAGUUAAGUUGGAUGUGAAAUCCCCGGGCUCAACCUGGGAACUGCAUUCAAAACUGACUGACUAGAGUAUGGUAGAGGGUGGUGGAAUUUCCUGU